GACCUAUCAGCUUUCGACGGUAGUGUAUUGGACUACCGUGGCAGUGACGGGUAACGGGGAAUUAGGGUUCGAUUCCGGAGAGGGAGCCUGAGAAACGGCUACCACAUCUAAGGAAGGCAGCAGGCGCGCAAAUUACCCAAUCCUGACUCAGGGAGGUAGUGACAAGAAAUAACAACACUGGAAAUUUUAUUUCUAGUGAUUGGAAUGAUGGGAAUUUAAACCCCUCUCAGAGUAACAAUUGGAGGGCAAGUCUGGUGCCAGCAGCCGCGGUAAUUCCAGCUCCAAUAGCGUAUAUUAAAGUUGUUGCAGUUAAAAAGCUCGUAGUUGGAUGUCUGCUGGAAGCAAUCAGUCCGCCCUAUUUGUGGGGUGUGCACUUGAUGAAUUCUGGCAUUUUUGUCCCAAUAUUAUGAUGUAGAAUGUGGGACACAGAGUGUUAUUGGGCGAAAGUUCAAUAGCAUGUCUGUGUUCCGAUUCUUAUUAUAUUGGGAUACUGUUACUUUGAGAAAAUUAGAGUGUUUGAAGCAGGCUUUGAAUUGCCUUGAAUACUGCAGC
This 552-nucleotide ribosomal RNA is filed under the name Sarcocystis sp. RNAcentral describes it as "SSU rRNA". It matches the Rfam family "Eukaryotic small subunit ribosomal RNA", at positions 309 to 808 of the family's 1831-position model. Lineage: Eukaryota; Apicomplexa; Conoidasida; Eucoccidiorida; Sarcocystidae. The record is from RNAcentral.